AACGACCAGACAUGUGGUUAUUGGGUGAGUUGUUGCUCAAAUUUUUUAGUUAAAAAGUAACAACAAUAUAUGAAAUUUGAGAUCUAAAAUGUGGCUCUUAUUCCAACAGGAGACCGUGGAUAUCCUUGCACCCCCUGGCUCAUGACUCCUUACCGUAAUCCCAGGCCAGGACCACAGAUGGCAUUUAACUCCGCGCUUACUGCCACUAGGCAGCUGGUGGAGCGCACAAUUGGUGUCCUGAAAGGGCGCUUUCGUGUGCUCCACCGCACGGGUGGCGACAUCAUGUAUUCGCCGGAGAUGGCAAGUAAAAUAGUGGUCCUGUGCGCAAUACUCCAUAAUAUCGCGGUAAGGAGUAGUGUUGAGCUUCCUCAGGCAGAGGAAUUGCCUGAUGAGGAGCCAGGGGUUGUGCCACGCUUCGGUGGGGGGAGUGUGACACGGAGGGGGAGCCAAGUGAGGGCAAGAAUCGUAGCAGAACAUUUCAGCUGAAUGAUCACACGACCUGUGGACAACAACAACGGCACAACUCCCCACCCCCUUCCCCUUCCCACUCACCCUCCCCUUCUCACUCCCCCUCCCCUUCUCAUUCCCCCUCCCCUUCUCACUCCCCCUCCCCUUCACAGUCCCCCUCCCCUUCUCACUCCCCCUCCCCUUCACAGUCCCCCUCAGCUUCCCAGUCCCCAUCAUCUUCCCAGUCCACCUCAUCUUCCAAGGCCCCCUCAUCUUCCCUGGCCCACUCCACUUUCCAUUCCCCUUCUCACCACACCUCUCCAUCUCUUUCUGGGACCCCUUCUCCUCCUUCCCAUACCCCUUCUCCUUCAUCUUCGUCAUCCCCAUCUGAACCCCCCUCACCCUCUAUUGCCUUACAUUUCUCUCCACCCCCCUCGCCCUCGCAAUCAGACCCCCCCUCUGAAAUUGUUGCUCCAAUCCAGCCUCCUUCCCCAAUCCCUCCUCCUUCCCCAAUCCCUCCUCCUUCCCCAAUCCAUCCUCCUUCCCCAAUCCCUCCUCCUUCCCCAAUCCCUCCUCCUUUCACCAUCCCUCAGCCGGCUUCACCGAUCAUGCCAAGCUCACCACCCAGUGAAUGGGCACAGGAAGCCCCUGACGAACAUUCCGGGAGUCAGGAUGUUGCCGUGGAAAAUGUUGCCGUUGGAGAUCCAACAUCCUUGCAGGAUAUAGUUUGCAGUAUGAGGCGCCAUCUCCAGGCCUUGGUGGGGCUUUUGGACGCCAUGCAAAAAUUUUGUUAAUUUUAUGAUUAUAAUUAAAAAUAUUAUAAAAAAUGAUAAUAUCAGUAUUCCACUUUUAAAAAAAAAUAAACUAAUA
Molecule: long non-coding RNA, 1317 nt
Organism: Pseudophryne corroboree (corroboree frog)
Lineage: Eukaryota; Metazoa; Chordata; Amphibia; Anura; Myobatrachidae
Exons: 4
Source: RefSeq, a predicted model, not a curated record